RNAcentral lists this ribosomal RNA (305 nucleotides) under Porphyromonadaceae bacterium. RNAcentral describes it as "partial 16S ribosomal RNA". It matches the Rfam family "Bacterial small subunit ribosomal RNA", at positions 1 to 292 of the family's 1533-position model. Lineage: Bacteria; Pseudomonadati; Bacteroidota; Bacteroidia; Bacteroidales; Porphyromonadaceae. The record is from RNAcentral.
UAUUGACAAUGAAGAGUUUGAUCCUGGCUCAGGAUGAACGCUAGCGAUAGGCUUAACACAUGCAAGUCGAGGGGCAGCAUGGUCUUAGCUUGCUAAGACUGAUGGCGACCGGCGCACGGGUGCGUAACGCGUAUGCAACUUGCCUCACAGAGGGGGAUAACCCGUCGAAAGACGGACUAAUACCGCGUACACUCUAUGUUGGGCAUCCAAUGUAGAGGAAAUGAAAUUCGCUGUGAGAUAGGCAUGCGUCCCAUUAGCUAGUUGGUGAGGUAACGGCUCACCAAGGCGACGAUGGGUAGGGGAAC